Lucilia cuprina (Australian sheep blowfly) is the source of this 685-nucleotide long non-coding RNA. RefSeq lists it as uncharacterized. The transcript has 2 exons. The record is from RefSeq and is a predicted model, not a curated record. NCBI's taxonomy places the organism in Eukaryota, Metazoa, Arthropoda, Insecta, Diptera, Calliphoridae.
ACUGGACGGACGUGAGUUAUUUUUGUGUCCAAAUAUGUGUUUUUGGAACAGACUGGUUUUCAUUAUUUACAUUUUCAAUAUGUGUUUAUGCAUGUAGAAAAGAUUCAAAAAUGUUAAUUUUCAUGAAUAAAAUUAAAAAAAUUAUUUUUGAUCAAUUAAAACAUAAUGCCUUUUAGUAAAAUACAUUCGAAAAAUUUUACUAUGGUCAUAUAUAGAAAAUGAUAUAACUGCUAUAUGACGAUCUUAUGCACGAUAAAAACCUAUAUAGAACUUUAAGUUGGAAGUUUGUAUAUUUUAUCGUUCUAGGGUGUGUACCAGAGAUUGACAAUGAGUUUGUAUGAAACAAGUAAUCCAAUUAUUUACUCAUAAUUUUUUAACACAAAGUACGUCCACACAAGUUUCAUUUUGAGUGUCUUCAUGUACGUAUUCGCAAUGAAAUAUAAUUACAUAUAUUCAAUACGCGUAUCAAACAUGUAUAGACUUAUUCACUAUUCAAAAGCAUAGCUAGCUGGUAUGUGUUAUCUCAAAUGAAUAAAAACAAAGGAUAUGUUGGAAAUUUCUUUUAUUCAAACAUUUCAACAAAAUACCCAAACGAAAAAACGAUUAUUGAGGAUAUUAUGAUUUAUUCUAUUAACUUUAAGUAUUGCUUUAACAAAUAACAUAUUAAAAAAAUUUUAAACCAUAA